AUAACUCAAAUCUGGAUAAACAUUGAAAAACUUUAACCAGGAAUAAUGCGAGUAACUCCUGCUUGCUGCCCGUAAGUUGAAAUCCGUGACGGAACUCUGGAAACUUCUCCGGCCUGUAAAUUAGACCUACCUCUCCUAGUUUCUCUCUCUCUCUCUCUCUAUGAGGCCUUACUGUCUCACCCAUGUAGCCUAAUUCACCAUCUCUAUGAAUAAAGCGGGUAGAGAGCUACCUUUCUCUCUAAAAAAAAAAAAAGGGAAUAAUGCGAGUAACAUUUUCUAUUAAUUAGUUUCUAAAUAAUUAUAAGACGUUGGUAACUAAUAACUAAUUAAAUUAAUUAAUAACACCAUGUGACUUAUUAAAUUAAUAUAUAAUUAAUUAAAUAAUCGAACAAUUAAUUUAUUAUUAUCUAUAAUCAAUUAGCUAAUUAAAUUAUAAACUAAUUUAAUAUGUUUUUUCAAAUAAUAACUAAUAUUUAUAUUAAUUAAGUAAUUAAUAUUUUAACUUAUCUAAAUAAUUUAUUAACUAAGUUUUGACUUUCAAAUAACUAAUUAAUUAGUUAACAUAUUUAAUUUAUUUUUUAUAACUAAUUAACUAAUUAAUAAUUACAUGCUUCUCCAUCAUCUUAUAGAAUAUUCCUUGUUAAUUAAUUAAUUAACUU
RNAcentral lists this long non-coding RNA (659 nucleotides) under Ananas comosus (pineapple). RNAcentral describes it as "long non-coding RNA (ACOM_LNC004934)". The record is from RNAcentral. Lineage: Eukaryota; Viridiplantae; Streptophyta; Magnoliopsida; Poales; Bromeliaceae.